UGGGAAAUACUUUUCUGGGCCGCCGCUUCAAAUGUUUGAGUUGGACCUUGCUGAGGCUGGUUGCAUCCCGAAUCAGCCAAAGCUUGGGUUCUUUCUCUCCGUUUCUCCACUGGCAAUAGAUCACGAACAGGAAACAGAAAAACAACAUCGUUACUACAUAUAACGCUGAAAAAAAAAGGAAUUGUGCGCAGAUCUGUUUGUCUAUAUCAAUUAAAGGGAGGUUUAAUCGACAAACCGGAGGAGCUGAGUAAGUUGAGCAGCUUGAGCAAAGUUUUUAUCUUCACGAGCUUUCAAAAUGCUAAGCAUUAGGUUCGCCUUGAUUGGAUUGCAAUCAAUCUGCUUGGAUAUGAUCAUAUUCUCCUCUUUGAGUUUCUGGCAUUCGGGUUUUAUCUCUUCAAUCUCUUGUCUUGUUUCUUCUUUUCGUUUUUGUCCCUCGCUGAUCUCCUCCGUAACAGCUUUCAGCUCUUCCACUAAUCUUUCCCUCCUCCCUGGCGGCUUCUUGAUAUUUUUCUCUCUUUUCUGUAGGGCAGGCCGCCGCCGCCCAUGCAUGUAAAAUAUGUUAAUUAAUUAUAACGUAAAAAGAUAUUAUUAUUGUCAUAA
Molecule: long non-coding RNA, 600 nt
Organism: Populus trichocarpa (black cottonwood)
Lineage: Eukaryota; Viridiplantae; Streptophyta; Magnoliopsida; Malpighiales; Salicaceae
Exons: 2
Source: RefSeq, a predicted model, not a curated record